UUUGUUUAGUUUGUAUGUUUUAAAGAAGUUGAGAGAAAGAUCUCAGCAGUGGGCGUGUACCGAGAACCCGUUAUAUAAAUAUAAACGUCAAUAUAUUGUGAUAUUCAACAUGAGGAGCAAUAAUUCUCAUCGUAGCUUCUCUAACUAGACGCGUUUUUCUGAUUACGUUCGUUCUCUUCAAAAGUUCCCUCACUUUCACUCACUUCACAAAAAUUCUGUUCAUCACAAGAAAAACACGGAGGACGGGACUCACGUGGUGGGGCUUAAAACAGGCGGAUGUGACUUGGUGUAAGUUACUGCUUAGCGUUAAAUACAGCUACACGAUAUCAUUUAUCUCCAUGAGUUAAUUAUCUGGGCUAGUAAUGAGCUUCGUCUCGUUCACCGUGUGAUUAAAGCUGCUGUACCGCGUCAUUCGGCUCGUACGUCCGCUGAGCUGUGGAACUGAAGGAAAGCCGGUGGUGAUGGCAUAAUACCAAGUUUGUGAUUGGUUGAGUAAAUGUAACUUAAGCUCCGCCCCUUGCUGACCCAGAGCCUUCAGGAUGUGAGACGCGAUACAGCUGUUGUGUGAUGUGUUUUACAGAAUAUCCGAUCAUCAGAUAAACCUGCGAUCUUCAUGAUGAGGGUUCUGCUCACGUGUGUAAGCCGAGAACGAUCGCCUCCGAAUGCCUCCGAAUGCCUCCGAAUGCCUCCGAAUGCCUCCGAAUGCCUCCGAAUGCCUCCGAAUGUCUCCUGUUCUGUAGCUUAAAAUUCUUAUUUUUGUAAAUGUUUGUGUUUAUUUAAGAGCUGUUGUGUGACUGUAAAGGGCUUCAGCGGAUCUGUGCACGACUCUGUGGCUUUUACACAAUUUCAGAUAUUAUUUCAGAUUGUAAUGCAUUUGUACAGAGCAAUAAAAUAAAAUGUAAAUACUAUUAUUAUUAUUAUUAUUAUUAUUAUUAUUAUUAUUAUGUGUUUUGAUAUCAAUGUCUAUAAUUGUGUGACUAUUUAAGAGUUUUCACUUUAACUCAGUUGUAAAUGUCUUAAGAAAAAGAAACCUUCAUGGACCAUCACCAAGUCAAAUAUCAACAUAUUACUUCACUGUAUUAUUAUAUUAUAUGAUAUUAUAUUAUAUGAUAUUAUAC
Long non-coding RNA from Ictalurus punctatus (channel catfish), 1118 nucleotides. NCBI's taxonomy places the organism in Eukaryota, Metazoa, Chordata, Actinopteri, Siluriformes, Ictaluridae. The record is from Ensembl.